GAUUCUGGCUCAGGAUGAACGCUGGCGGCAUGCCUAAUACAUGCAAGUCGAACGGAGUGAAGCCUUCGGGUUUCAUUCAGUGGCGAACGGGUGAGUAAUACGCAGGGAACCUGGCCAUGGCAGGGGGAUACACUCUGGAAACGGAGCAUAAGACCCCAUAGGCAGUAAGGCGGCAUCGCCUUACUGUUAAAGAAAGCUGAAAGGCUUUGGCGAUGGAUGGACCUGCGGUGCAUUAGCUUGUUGGUGAGGCAACGGCUUACCAAGGCGAUGAUGCAUAGCCGGCCUGAGAGGGCGGACGGCCACACUGGGACUGAGACACGGCCCAGACUCCUGCGGGAGGCAGCAGUAGGGAAUUUUCGUCAAUGGGCGCAAGCCUGAACGAGCAAUGCCGCGUGAGUGAGGAAGGUCUUCGGACUGUAAAGCUCUGUUGCCGGGGAAAAAGGGGAAAUGCAGGAAAUGGCAUUUCAUGGAUGGUACCCGGCCAGAAAGCCACGGCUAACUACGUGCCAGCAGCCGCGGUAAUACGUAGGUGGCGAGCGUUAUCCGGAAUGAUUGGGCGUAAAGGGUGCGCAGGCGGUCUGUUAAGUCUGAAGGCAAAGGGAUGAGCUCAACUCAUUUAUGAUUCAGAAACUGGCAGACUUGAGGACAGGAGAGGGCGGUGGAACUCCAUGUGUAGCGGUAAAAUGCGCAGAGAUAUGGAAGAACACCAGUGGCGAAGGCGGCCGCCUGGCCUGUGACUGACGCUGAGGCACGAAAGCGUGGGGAGCAAAUAGGAUUAGAUACCCUAGUAGUCCACGCCGUAAACGAUGAGGAGCAGGUGUUGGGAGUGAAAUCUCAGUGCCGAAGCCAACGCAGUGACUCCUCCGCCUGGGGAGUAUGCACGCAAGUGUGAAACUCAAAGGAAUUGACGGGGGCCCGCACAAGCGGUGGAGUAUGUGGUUUAAUUCGAAGCAACGCGAAGAACCUUACCAGGUUUUGACAUCGGAUGCGAAGGCGCAGAGAUGCGCUGGAGGCUAUCAUCCAGACAGGUGGUGCAUGGUUGUCGUCAGCUCGUGUCGUGAGAUGUUCAGUUAAGUCUGGCAACGAGCGCAACCCCCGUGGUAUGUUACUAACGCAUUUGGGCGAGGACUCAUAUCAGACUGCCGGUGACAAACCGGAGGAAGGCGGGGAUGACGUCAAAUCAUCAUGCCCCUUAUGACCUGGGCUACACACGUACUACAAUGGCGUCUACAGAGGGAAGCGACCCUGAGAAGGGAAGCGAAACCGGAAAAGGGCGUCCCAGUUCGGAUUGAAGUCUGCAACCCGACUUCAUGAAGAUGGAAUCGCUAGUAAUCGCGGAUCAGCAUGCCGCGGUGAAUACGUUCCCGGGCCUUGUACACACCGCCCGUCAAACCAUGGAAGCCGGCAACGCCCGAAGCCGGUGGCAUAACCUUUUAGGAGUGAGCCGUCGAAGGCGGGGCCGAUGACUGGGGUUAAGUCGUAACAAGGUAGCC
Molecule: ribosomal RNA, 1493 nt
Filed under: uncultured bacterium
Lineage: Bacteria
Description: 16S ribosomal RNA
Rfam family: Bacterial small subunit ribosomal RNA
Source: RNAcentral